ACAUCCAGAGAACUUAGCAGAGAUGCUUUGGUGCCUUCGGGAACUCUGAGACAGGUGCUGCAUGGCUGUCGUCAGCUCGUGUUGUGAAAUGUUGGGUUAAGUCCCGNAACGAGCGCAACCCUUAUCCUUUGUUGCCAGCGGGUAAUGCCGGGAACUCAAAGGAGACUGCCGGUGAUAAACCGGAGGAAGGUGGGGAUGACGUCAAGUCAUCAUGGCCCUUACGGCCAGGGCUACACACGUGCUACAAUGGCGCAUACAAAGAGAAGCGACCUCGCGAGAGCAAGCGGACCUCAUAAAGUGCGUCGUAGUCCGGAUCGGAGUCUGCAACUCGACUCCGUGAAGUCGGAAUCGCUAGUAAUCGUAGAUCAGAAUGCUACGGUGAAUACGUUCCCGGGCCUUGUACACACCGCCCGUCACACCAUGGGAGUGGGUUGCAAAAGAAGUAGGUAGCUUAACCUCCGGGAGGGCGCUUACCACUUUGUGAUUCAUGACUGGGGUGAAGUCGUAACAAGGUAAGCGUAGUGCU
Molecule: ribosomal RNA, 526 nt
Filed under: uncultured bacterium
Lineage: Bacteria
Description: bacterial SSU rRNA
Rfam family: Bacterial small subunit ribosomal RNA
Source: RNAcentral